RNAcentral lists this non-coding RNA (778 nucleotides) under Issikiopteryx taipingensis. Lineage: Eukaryota; Metazoa; Arthropoda; Insecta; Lepidoptera; Lecithoceridae. The record is from RNAcentral.
UAAUAAUUAAUUAUGGUUAAAAAAAUUUAUUAUAAAUUAAUAUUAUAUAUAAAUUUUAGUGUUAAUUUUUAAUUAUUUUAAUAAUUUUUAAUUAAAUUUAUAGUAAUUAAUAUUAAAAAUUUAAGAAAUUAAGAUUUAGUGAUAUAAAUAUAUUAAUAACAAAUUUUGUGCCAGCAGUUGCGGUUAAACAAAGAAUUAAUUUAAAUUUUAUUAGUAAUAAAAUAAUAAUAAUUUUUUUUUAUGAAAUAUUAAUUUAUUAGGUGAAAUUUUAAUUUAAUUAAAAUUAUGAAUAUAAGUUAUGUUUUAAAAAAUUUAAAAAUAAACUAGGAUUAGAUACCCUAUUAUAAUAAAUUUAAUUAAAAAUACUAAAAUAGUAAAUAAUAAUUUAUUUAAACUUAAAUAAUUUGGCGGUAUUUUAGUUUAUUUAGAGGAAUCUGUUUAUUAAUUGAUAAUCCACGAGUGAAUUUACUUAAUUUAAUAUUUUGUAUAUCGUUGUUAAAUAAAUAUUUUUUAGUAAGAAUAAUAUUUAAAAAUUUAUAUUAAAAAUUAGAUCAGAUCAAGAUGCAGAUUAUAAUUAAGAAUAUAAUGGGUUACAAUAAAUUUAUUUAAAUGAAUAAUAAUUUGAAAAAAUUAUUUAAAGGUGGAUUUAAAUGUAAUUUUAUUUAAUUUAAUAAAAUGAUUUAAAAUUAAAAUAUGUACAUAUUGCCCGUCACUUUCAUAAAUAAAUUGAAAUAAGUCGUAACAAAGUAGAGGUACUGGAAAGUGUUUCUAGAAAGUU